This is a long non-coding RNA of Zingiber officinale, 361 nucleotides long. RefSeq lists it as uncharacterized. The transcript is spliced from 3 exons. The record is from RefSeq and is a predicted model, not a curated record. NCBI's taxonomy places the organism in Eukaryota, Viridiplantae, Streptophyta, Magnoliopsida, Zingiberales, Zingiberaceae.
GGAGAAGCUGAUAUCGAGCAGCAGUAAUCCGGCUGUGUGAUUGAAGUGAAGGAUUCCAGCAGGAAGGGUUGUUCGGUGGGUUUUCUCGGGUUCCAGCAGCAAUUAACCUUUGUUGGCAGCAACAGUCCUUGUGUGGAUCAACAAGCACGACUGUGAAUUUAGGUUGAGACUGUCCGGAGAGUUCCAGUCGCUAGUCCCCUGCAGAUCGUAAGGAUAUUUUUAUUGGGUCUUUUGGUUUUAUUUCUUAUUCCACUAUCUAGACUUGUACUAGUUUUGCUUUAUGGAUAUUGUAUGAUUUAUUUUAUUGUCGAUGGAUUUUUAUUGGAUAUGUUUUGCUACAUGCCCGUCUGGAUGGCAGAAG